AUUUAAUGAAUGUUUUAUUAAUAAGCUCAGUGGUUUGAAAGUGAGAAGUGACAACGCUGUUCGAAAUAAAACAUUUGUGUCUUCAACGCGAGAGAAUGCUGCCAUACGGGAAAAUAAAAAUUUUGCGUUCAGGGUUAGAAGACGUUCCUUAUGAGAUCAAUGGUAUUCGAGAUCUACAACUAAAGGAAAUGAUUGGCGACAUUUGUGGAACAGCGACGUAAGCUAUCGAACAGCUAUCAAAACGGAAUGAGUAGUUUAUAAAUGCCAAAUGAAAACAUCAGCGCACCGAAUGGAAUUUGCAGUACAAUUGAAGGAACAACGUCUCCUACGCGUCAGUGCGACGCAGUGUAAAUUUAUAUAUAUGGAAUUUUGUAAACGACACCUUACAUUCGCUAUUCAUC
Stegodyphus dumicola is the source of this 401-nucleotide long non-coding RNA. The record is from RefSeq and is a predicted model, not a curated record. Lineage: Eukaryota; Metazoa; Arthropoda; Arachnida; Araneae; Eresidae.